RNAcentral lists this ribosomal RNA (587 nucleotides) under uncultured bacterium. RNAcentral describes it as "partial 16S ribosomal RNA". It matches the Rfam family "Bacterial small subunit ribosomal RNA", at positions 355 to 1375 of the family's 1533-position model. The record is from RNAcentral.
UGGGGAAUUUUGGACAAUGGGCGAAAGCCUGAUCCAGCAAUGCCGCGUGUGUGAAGAAGGCCUUCGGGUUGUAAAGCACCUUUGUCCGGAAAGAAAUCCUUGGCUCUAAUACAGUCGGGGGAUGAUGGUACCGGAAGAAUAAGCACCGGCUAACUACGUGCCAGCAGCCGCGGUAAUACGUAGGGUGCAAGCGUUAAUCGGAAUUACUGGGCGUAAAGCGUGCGCAGGCGGUUUGCUAAGACCGAUGUGAAAUCCCCGGGCUCAACCUGGGAACUGCAUUGGUGACUGGCAGGCUAGAGUAUGGCAGAGGGGGGUAGGAAUUCCACGUGUAGCAGUGAAAUGCGUAGAGAUGUGGAGGAAUACCGAUGGCGAAGGCCAGCCCCCUGGGCCAAUACUGACGCUCAUGCACGAAAGCGUGGGGAGCAAACAGGAUUAGAUACCCUGGUAGUCCACGCCCUAAACGAUGUCAACUAGUUGUUGGGGGAUUCAUUUCCUUAGUAACGUAGCUAACGCGUGAAGUUGACCGCCUGGGGAGUACGGUCGCAAGAUUAAAACUUAAUGAAUUGACGGGGUCAUAGCUGUUUCCU